This 559-nucleotide ribosomal RNA is filed under the name uncultured bacterium. Its description in RNAcentral is "partial 16S ribosomal RNA". It matches the Rfam family "Bacterial small subunit ribosomal RNA", at positions 355 to 907 of the family's 1533-position model. The record is from RNAcentral.
UGGGGAAUUUUGGACAAUGGGGGCAACCCUGAUCCAGCAAUGCCGCGUGUGUGAAGAAGGCCUUCGGGUUGUAAAGCACUUUUGUCCGGAAAGAAAACGUCGUGGUUAAUACCCGUGGCGGCUGACGGUACCGGAAGAAUAAGCACCGGCUAACUACGUGCCAGCAGCCGCGGUAAUACGUAGGGUGCAAGCGUUAAUCGGAAUUACUGGGCGUAAAGCGUGCGCAGGCGGUCCGCUAAGACAGAUGUGAAAUCCCCGGGCUUAACCUGGGAACUGCAUUUGUGACUGGCGGGCUAGAGUAUGGCAGAGGGGGGUAGAAUUCCACGUGUAGCAGUGAAAUGCGUAGAGAUGUGGAGGAAUACCGAUGGCGAAGGCAGCCCCCUGGGCCAAUACUGACGCUCAUGCACGAAAGCGUGGGGAGCAAACAGGAUUAGAUACCCUGGUAGUCCACGCCCUAAACGAUGUCAACUAGUUGUCGGGUCUUCAUUGACUUGGUAACGUAGCUAACGCGUGAAGUUGACCGCCUGGGGAGUACGGUCGCAAGAUUAAAACUUAAAUG